RNAcentral lists this long non-coding RNA (253 nucleotides) under Solanum tuberosum (potato). RNAcentral's name for it is "long non-coding RNA (STUB_LNC000277)". Lineage: Eukaryota; Viridiplantae; Streptophyta; Magnoliopsida; Solanales; Solanaceae. The record is from RNAcentral.
UGUUUUCGAUCGUUAUCAUCAGUGAAGGUAAGCAAGUCACUCUCCUAACUUCAUAAUUUGAUUCUAGAGCCUUGAAAUCUAUGAUGAUGAUGAUCUUUAGGGGAGGGUUUGUAUGGGUUUACUGGUGGAAAUUUUUUGCUUUGGGUAGAAUUAUCAUGAAAUUGGAGUUUGGGAUUAGGAUAUAAUCUGGGUGUGCUAAGGUUAUUUAGGUCUGAUUAUGUGUUAGAUUAACUAUGUGUAGUCCGAGAACAAG